AGUGAACGCUGGCGGUAGGCCUAACACAUGCAAGUCGAACGGCAGCACAGUAAGAGCUUGCUCUUACGGGUGGCGAGUGGCGGACGGGUGAGGAAUACAUCGGAAUCUACUUUUUCGUGGGGGAUAACGUAGGGAAACUUACGCUAAUACCGCAUAUGACCUACGGGUGAAAGCAGGGGAUCUUCGGACCUUGCGCGUUUGAAUGAGCCGAUGUCGGAUUAGCUAGUUGGCGGGGUAAAGGCCCACCAAGGCAACGAUCCGUAGCUGGUCUGAGAGGAUGAUCAGCCACACUGGAACCGAGACACGGUCCAGACUCCUACGGGAGGCAGCAGUGGGGAAUAUUGGACAAUGGGCGCAAGCCUGAUCCAGCCAUACCGCGUGGGUGAAGAAGGCCUUCGGGUUGUAAAGCCCUUUUGUUGGGAAAGAAAAGCAGCAGGUUAAUACCCGGCUGUUCUGACGGUACCCAAAGAAUAAGCACCGGCUAACUUCGUG
Molecule: ribosomal RNA, 492 nt
Filed under: uncultured bacterium
Lineage: Bacteria
Description: partial 16S ribosomal RNA
Rfam family: Bacterial small subunit ribosomal RNA
Source: RNAcentral